This 497-nucleotide ribosomal RNA is filed under the name uncultured bacterium. RNAcentral's name for it is "partial 16S ribosomal RNA". It matches the Rfam family "Bacterial small subunit ribosomal RNA", at positions 28 to 507 of the family's 1533-position model. The record is from RNAcentral.
GAUGAACGCUGGCGGCGUGCCUAAUACAUGCAAGUCGAGCGAACAGACGAGGAGCUUGCUCCUCUGACGUUAGCGGCGGACGGGUGAGUAACACGUGGAUAACCUACCUAUAAAACUGGGAUAACUUCGGGAAACCGGAGCUAAUACCGGAUAAUAUAUUGAACCGCAUGGUUCAAUAGUGAAAGACGGUUUUGCUGUCACUUAUAGAUGGAUCCGAGCCGCAUUAGCUAGUUGGUAAGGUAACGGCUUACCAAGGCAACGAUUCGUAGCCGACCUGAGAGGGUGAUCGGCCACCCUGGAACUGAGACACGCACAAGACUCCUACGGGAGGCAGCAGUAGGGAAUCUUCCGCAAUGGGCGAAAGCUUGACGGAGCAACGCCGCGUGAGUGAUGAAGGUCUUCGGAUCGUAAAACUCUGUUAUUAGGGAAGAACAAAUGUGUAAGUAACUAUGCACGUCUUGACGGUACCUAAUCAGAAAGCCACGGCUAACUACGUG